RNAcentral lists this long non-coding RNA (1173 nucleotides) under Zea mays. RNAcentral describes it as "long non-coding RNA (ZMAY_LNC002114)". Lineage: Eukaryota; Viridiplantae; Streptophyta; Magnoliopsida; Poales; Poaceae. The record is from RNAcentral.
GAGGGCACACGCUCGUGGCCACGCUGGGGCUACGAGUUGGCCACGUCGCGUCGGGGUGCGCUGGUCGUGCCACACCGAGACGCAGGCCGCGAGCCACGCUGGGACGCGUUGGCGUGCCACGGGCCGAACUAACCGCGCUGGCUGCCGCGCACCACGCCAGGGUUGUUGGCCGCGUCGGGCAGCGGAGCAGAAGACGAGCCGCCGGGCUGAACAGCCGCGUCGGCGAGCCGCGGGUAGGUCGCGCCGUGCACAGCCGAGGGCGGAGAGCGGCUCGACCACGAGCGCCCGGGGUGCGGCUGUCGCGCACCAGGCGCCAGCGCCACAGCGAGCUCAGUGCUCAGCGCCUCCUGCUCCGCUGCUCGGCUGCUCCUGCCCAGCUGCCCUUCUCUCCUCUCCAGCGCAGCGCCUGCUCUCCAGCGCCCGUGCCGCGCCUCCUCUCCAACGGCCAGCGCCGCGCCGCUGCGCGCUCGCGGCCAGCCGCCGGCCAGGCCCAGGCCGCACCGCGGCAGGCGGCACUGCGAGGCACAGCACAGCCGCACAGGCGCCAGGCGCGCAACGCAGCGCGCUCGAGUCCGUAUGUCCGUAUCUUGACCGCCGUUGGGCUUGCAGGAGAGCCACGAUCUUGAGCUCCUUCCUUAUCUCUACAGUUUCUAUACCGACAAUUAGUGGUGUUUUUUGUAUUGUCUUUUGUGGGUCGGGAACCCUACAACCAAGAUUUGCCCUCUCUGCCACGGCGGCGGCGGUCAAGUCAAUUUGUAUGUACUAGUAUAUUUGUAUAAUUAUUAUCCAAAUCUUAGAUUAGGGGCACAAGCAAUUUCAAGGAAAAAAUACAUCUACCUAGAGGAGGAGAGGAGACGAUGUCGAAGUAAACAUUCAGCUGGUUUGGCCUGGCUGAUUAGGAAAAAAACAUCUACCCAAAACGGUAUGUGCAAGAUUAUUGUAUUUAUAAAAUUUGUAUCAACAUAUUUUUAGACUACAUAUUUCUUGAAUGUUUAAAUUAUAUCUUGCUUCUUGUGUCAUAUUAAACAUUAAUUAUAUUUUUUUUUGUUUAGUCUAAAUUUUUUGUUAUAGUCUUAACUUAGUAGCCCCUAUUUUGAAUCAAUCCUGGAUCCGCCACUACAGGGGAAUAUAGGGAAAGAGAGGGGCAUCUGGGCACACUUGCGACCGGUGGGC